Molecule: ribosomal RNA, 468 nt
Filed under: uncultured bacterium
Lineage: Bacteria
Description: partial 16S ribosomal RNA
Rfam family: Bacterial small subunit ribosomal RNA
Source: RNAcentral
GACGAACGCUGGCGGCGUGCUUAACACAUGCAAGUCGAACGGAAAGGCCCUGCUUUUGUGGGGUGCUCGAGUGGCGAACGGGUGAGUAACACGUGAGUAACCUGCCCUUGACUUUGGGAUAACUUCAGGAAACUGGGGCUAAUACCGGAUAGGAGCUCCUGCUGCAUGGUGGGGGUUGGAAAGGUUCGGCGGUUGGGGAUGGACUCGCGGCUUAUCAGCUUGUUGGUGGGGUAGUGGCUUACCAAGGCUUUGACGGGUAGCCGGCCUGAGAGGGUGACCGGCCACAUUGGGACUGAGGUACGGCCCAGACUCCUACGGGAGGCAGCAGUGGGGAAUAUUGCACAAUGGGCGGAAGCCUGAUGCAGCAACGCCGCGUGCGGGAUGACGGCCUUCGGGUUGUAAACCGCUUUCGCCUGUGACGAAGCGUGAGUGACGGUAAUGUGUAAAGAAGCACCGGCUAACUACGUG